This is a small nucleolar RNA of Anguilla anguilla (European eel), 73 nucleotides long. Lineage: Eukaryota; Metazoa; Chordata; Actinopteri; Anguilliformes; Anguillidae. The record is from RefSeq and is a predicted model, not a curated record.
AUGCUGUGAUGUCUGAAUUUCUUCACCUGAAUCAGUCUUGUUGACUAAAAUGAGCUUUUUAACCCUGAGCCAU